CCUACGGGGGGCAGCAGUGAGGAAUAUUGGUCAAUGGGCUUACGCCUGAACCAGCCAAGUCGCGUGAGGGAAGACUGCCCUAUGGGUUGUAAACCUCUUUUGUCAGGGAGCAACGCCGGCUACGUGUAGCCGGACUGAGAGUACCUGAAGAAAAAGCAUCGGCUAACUCCGUGCCAGCAGCCGCGGUAAUACGGAGGAUGCGAGCGUUAUCCGGAUUCAUUGGGUUUAAAGGGUGCGUAGGCGGAAUGCCAAGUCAGCGGUAAAAUCGCGGGGCUCAACCGCGCUCCGCCGUUGAAACUGGCGUUCUUGAGUGGGCGAGAAGUAUGCGGAAUGCGUGGUGUAGCGGUGAAAUGCAUAGAUAUAUGGAGGAACACCAGUGGCGAAGGCGACGAUCUGGCCUGCAACUGACGCUCAGUCCCGAAAGCGUGGGGAGCAAAUAGGAUUAGAUACCCGUGUAGUC
Molecule: ribosomal RNA, 460 nt
Filed under: uncultured bacterium
Lineage: Bacteria
Description: partial 16S ribosomal RNA
Rfam family: Bacterial small subunit ribosomal RNA
Source: RNAcentral